Long non-coding RNA from Callithrix jacchus (white-tufted-ear marmoset), 764 nucleotides. RefSeq lists it as uncharacterized. The record is from RefSeq and is a predicted model, not a curated record. NCBI's taxonomy places the organism in Eukaryota, Metazoa, Chordata, Mammalia, Primates, Cebidae.
CUGCAAUGAGUUCCCACCAACUGUAAAAGUGUUCCUUUUCCUCGGCAACCUCGCUGGCACCUGUUAUUUUCUGACUUUUUAAUAAUAGCCAUUCUGACUGCUGUGAGAAGGUAGAUCCACACCUUCCUGCAACCACUGAGAGCGCUGCAAGCAGUUCAAAAGGUGGAGUCUCUAUUUGUUACCCAGGCUGCAGUGCAGUGGCACGAUCUCUACUGCAACUUCUGCCUCCCAGGCUCAAGCAAUUCUCCUGCCUCAGCUUCCAGCUGGGAUUACAGGCACGUGCUAUCCUGCCCAGAUAAUUUUUGUAGUUUUAGGAGAGACAGGGUUUUACCAUGUUGGCCAGGCUGGUCUCAAACUCCUGACCUCAGGUGAUCCAUCCUUCUCGGCCUCCCAAACUGCUUGGGAUUACAGGUCUGAGCUACCAUGCCCAGAAUCUCAUGUUUGUUUUUUUAAUCUUAAGGUUCUUUUCAGCUGAGAGCUCAUUUCACUUAUAAAUAAAAUUGAGAAUUACCUUUUUUACAACUUAAAUACUAUUCAAUCAUCUCUAAGAACAAGGUAUAUUUUUCAGUUACUUAAUCGAUAAAGUUCUUUAUUUAAACUUACAUAUUUCUUGUUCAACCUAUUCUUCGGUGUUUUGUUGCAAUUUUGUGUACAUAUGUUUUUGUGUGGAUGUGUGCAUAUAUUUGUAACUAGCACUGUUAUUUUUCUUGUUUCUAAUAGAUUUCCAGUUGAUGCUCUUCAAUUAUUAAAAUGCAUUACUUACA